Molecule: unclassified non-coding RNA, 355 nt
Filed under: soil metagenome
Description: partial contains 5.8S ribosomal RNA, internal transcribed spacer 2, and large subunit ribosomal RNA
Rfam family: 5.8S ribosomal RNA (bases 1-120)
Source: RNAcentral
GAUGAAGAACGUAGCGAAAUGCGAUAAGUAAUGUGAAUUGCAGAAUUCAGUGAAUCAUCGAAUCGUUGAACGCACAUUGCGCCCAUUAGUAUUCUAGUGGGCAUGCCUGUUCGAGCGUCAUUAAGUCCACUUAAGCCCUGCUUAGUGUUGGGAGACUGCUCCAGCGGUGCUACCCUGUAGCUACCCUGCAGCUCCUCAAAGACAGCGGCGGAGUUGUGGUAUCCUCUGAGCUUAGUAACUUGUUCUAGCUUUCGAGUACACCACUUCCCCUGCCGUAAAACCCUUAAUUUCUAAUGGUUGACCUCGGAUCAGGUAGGAAUACCCGCUGAACUUAAGCAUAUCAAUAAGCGGAGGA